RNAcentral lists this ribosomal RNA (371 nucleotides) under uncultured organism. RNAcentral's name for it is "partial 16S ribosomal RNA". It matches the Rfam family "Bacterial small subunit ribosomal RNA", at positions 527 to 896 of the family's 1533-position model. The record is from RNAcentral.
GUAGGGUGCAAGCGUUAAUCGGAAUUACUGGGCGUAAAGCGUGCGCAGGCGGUUAUGCAAGACAGAGGUGAAAUCCCCGGGCUCAACCUGGGAACUGCCUUUGUGACUGCAUGGCUAGAGUACGGUAGAGGGGGAUGGAAUUCCGCGUGUAGCAGUGAAAUGCGUAGAUAUGCGGAGGAACACCGAUGGCGAAGGCAAUCCCCUGGACCUGUACUGACGCUCAUGCACGAAAGCGUGGGGGGAGCAAACAGGAUUAGAUACCCUGGUAGUCCACGCCCCUAAACGAUGUCAACUGGUUGUUGGGAGGGUUUCUUCUCAGUAACGUAGCCAACGCGUGAAGUUGACCGCCUGGGAGUACGGCCGCAAGGUUG